AGAGUUUGAUCCUGGCUCAGGAUGAACGCUGGCGGUCUGCUUAACACAUGCAAGUCGAACGGGUACUUCGGUACUAGUGGCGGACGGGUGAGUAACGCGUGAGAAUCUAGCUUCAGACCGGGGACAACAGAGGGAAACCACUGCUAAUACCCGAUGUGCCGAAAGGUGAAAGAUUUAUCAUCUGAAGAUGAGCUCGCGUCCGAUUAGCUAGUUGGUAGGGUAAGAGCCUACCAAGGCGACGAUCGGUAGCUGGUCUGAGAGGAUGACCAGCCACACUGGGACUGAGACACGGCCCAGACUCCUACGGGAGGCAGCAGUGGGGAAUUUUCCGCAAUGGGCGAAAGCCUGACGGAGCAAGACCGCGUGAGGGAGGAAGGCUCUUGGGUUGUAAACCUCUUUUCUCUGGGAAGAAGAUCUGACGGUACCAGAGGAAUCAGCAUCGGCUAACUCCGUGCCAGCAGCCGCGGUAAUACGGAGGAUGCAAGCGUUAUCCGGAAUUAUUGGGCGUAAAGCGUCCGUAGGUGGCGGUUCAAGUCUGCCGUUAAAACCAGUAGCUUAACUACUGACAGGCGGUGGAAACUGAACAGCUAGAGUGUGGUAGGGGUAGAGGGAAUUCCCAGUGUAGCGGUGAAAUGCGUAGAGAUUGGGAAGAACACCGGUGGCGAAAGCGCUCUGCUGGACCACAACUGACACUCACAGGACGAAAGCUAGGGGAGCGAAAGGGAUUAGAUACCCCUGUAGUCCUAGCCGUAAACGAUGGAUACUAGGUGUUGUGAGUAUCGACCCUCACAGUGCCGGAGCCAACGCGUUAAGUAUCCCGCCUGGGGAGUACGCACGCAAGUGUGAAACUCAAAGGAAUUGACGGGGGCCCGCACAAGCGGUGGAGUAUGUGGUUUAAUUCGAUGCAACGCGAAGAACCUUACCAGGGCUUGACAUGUCGCGAAUCCUCUUGAAAGGGAGGAGUGCCUUCGGGAGCGCGAACACAGGUGGUGCAUGGCUGUCGUCAGCUCGUGUCGUGAGAUGUUGGGUUAAGUCCCGCAACGAGCGCAACCCUCGUUUUUAGUUGCCAGCAUUAAGUUGGGCACUCUAAAGAGACUGCCGGUGACAAACCGGAGGAAGGUGGGGAUGACGUCAAGUCAGCAUGCCCCUUACGUCCUGGGCUACACACGUACUACAAUGCUACGGACAAAGAGCAGCUAAACAGCGAUGUCUUGCUAAUCUCGUAAACCGUGGCUCAGUUCAGAUUGUAGGCUGCAACUCGCCUACAUGAAGGCGGAAUCGCUAGUAAUCCCAGGUCAGCAUACUGGGGUGAAUUCGUUCCCGGGCCUUGUACACACCGCCCGUCACACCAUGGGAGUUGGCCACGCCCGAAGUCGUUAUCCUAACCCGCAAGGGAAGGAGAUGCCGAAGGUGGGGCUGAUGACUGGGGUGAAGUCGUAACAAGGUAGCCGUACCGGAAGGUGUGGCUGGAUCACCUCCUUUUUAGGGAGACCUAACCCAAUUGAUGACUGAAAAUUUGUUCAUAAGUCACAAUUGAGGUCAUACCUAGGUCGAACGAGAAUGGCUGGCUUUCAAACUAGAUUCAGGUUUGGGUGAUGGGCUAUUAGCUCAGGUGGUUAGAGCGCACCCCUGAUAAGGGUGAGGUCCCUGGUUCAAGUCCAGGAUGGCCCACCUGAAACACAAAGUAUUGUGGGGGUAUAGCUCAGUUGGUAGAGCGCUGUCCUUGCACGGCAGAUGUCAGCGGUUCGAGUCCGCUUACCUCCACCAAAAAAACUCAGUGGAGAAGAAGUUUCCCCAAGGAACUUGUCAACGCUAAGAGGAAAUGAUAGACUAGAAAGAGUGACAAUUGAUGAAUCAGCACCUCUAGUGGUUAGCGAAAAACCAAAGAGAAUGCUGGCCACAUCAGCCAGUGAGAACCUAGAAAACUGCAUAGUAAGAGAGAAAUAGGAAACAAAUAGCAGGUAGAUAAUUACCAAAUGUUUGUGUAGAAGGUCAAGCUAUCAAGAGCUAAUGGUGGAUACCU
This 2023-nucleotide ribosomal RNA is filed under the name Phormidium sp. CHAB TP201721.3. RNAcentral's name for it is "bacterial SSU rRNA". The stretch from base 1 to 1482 matches the Rfam family "Bacterial small subunit ribosomal RNA". Lineage: Bacteria; Bacillati; Cyanobacteriota; Cyanophyceae; Oscillatoriales; Oscillatoriaceae. The record is from RNAcentral.